This 1045-nucleotide unclassified non-coding RNA is filed under the name uncultured Agaricales. RNAcentral's name for it is "sequence contains 18S rRNA gene, ITS1, 5.8S rRNA gene, ITS2, 28S rRNA gene". The stretch from base 622 to 1045 matches the Rfam family "Eukaryotic large subunit ribosomal RNA", at positions 1 to 418 of the family's 3401-position model. The record is from RNAcentral. Lineage: Eukaryota; Fungi; Basidiomycota; Agaricomycetes; Agaricales.
GGAAGGAUCAUUAAUGGAUUAAAACUUGGUUGAGCUGAUGCUGGUUCCUUGGAAUAUGUGCACGCCUGCCAUCGUUCUUUAACCACCUGUGCACCUUCUGUAGACUUUGAAACAAAUUUACUCGAGGCAACUCGGAUAUGAGAACUGCUGUGCUUUCAAUGGCCAGCUGUUUUUGGUAUUUCUUAGUCUAUGUGUUUUUACAAACCAUUUUGUAUGUCUUUGAAUGUUUGUGUUGGGCAUUUUGCCUUUAAAAUCUAAAUACAACUUUCAACAAUGGAUCUCUUGGCUCUCGCAUCGAUGAAGAACGCAGCGAAAUGCGAUAAGUAAUGUGAAUUGCAGAAUUCAGUGAAUCAUCGAAUCUUUGAACGCACCUUGCGCUCCUUGGUAUUCCGAGGAGCAUGCCUGUUUGAGUGUCAUUAAAUAUCUCAACCAUACCAGUCUUCUGUUAUGGCUUGGACAUGGGGCUUUUGUAGGCUUUUGACAACGGUCUGCUGCCCUUAAAUGCAUUAGCAAAGCUUUUUGUUGCUAGACAUUGGUGUGAUAGCUAUCAUCGCCAUUGGAAAAGCAACAUGAGUUUGAAGCUUGGCUUCUAAUCGUCUAAAGACAAUUAAUUUGAAUAUCUGACCUCAAAUCAGGUAGGACUACCCGCUGAACUUAAGCAUAUCAAUAAGCGGAGGAAAAGAAACUAACAAGGAUUCCCCUAGUAACUGCGAGUGAAGCGGGAAAAGCUCAAAUUUAAAAUCUGGUAGUCUUUGGCUGCCCGAGUUGUAAUCUAGAGAAGCGUUAUCCGUGCUGGACCGUGUAUAAGUCUUCUGGAAUGGAGCGUCAUAGAGGGUGAGAAUCCCGUCUUUGACACGGACUACCAGUGCUUUGUGAUGCGCUCUCAAAGAGUCGAGUUGUUUGGGAAUGCAGCUCUAAAUGGGUGGUAAAUUCCAUCUAAAGCUAAAUAUUGGCGAGAGACCGAUAGCGAACAAGUACCGUGAGGGAAAGAUGAAAAGAACUUUGGAAAGAGAGUUAAACAGUACGUGAAAUUGUUGAAAGGGAA